GUGCUUGCUGUGGCAGCACAUACACUAAAAUUGGAACGAUACAGAGAUUAGCUUGGCCCCUGCACAGGGAUGACAUGCAAAUUCGUGAAGCGUUCCAUAUUUUU
RNAcentral lists this small nuclear RNA (104 nucleotides) under Physeter macrocephalus (sperm whale). The record is from RNAcentral. Lineage: Eukaryota; Metazoa; Chordata; Mammalia; Artiodactyla; Physeteridae.